This 366-nucleotide ribosomal RNA is filed under the name uncultured organism. RNAcentral's name for it is "bacterial SSU rRNA". It matches the Rfam family "Bacterial small subunit ribosomal RNA", at positions 526 to 896 of the family's 1533-position model. The record is from RNAcentral.
CGAAGGGUGCAAACGUUGCUCGGAAUUACUGGGUGUAAAGGGUGCGCAGGCGGACUUAUAAGUCAGAGGUGAAAUCUCACUGCUCAACAGUGAAACUGCCUUUGAUACUGUAGGUCUUGAAUUAGGGAGAGAUUCGUGGAAUUCCGAGUGUAGCAGUGAAAUGUGUAGAUAUUCGGAAGAACACCAGUGGCGAAGGCAGCGAAUUGGCCCUAUAUUGACGCUCAGGCACGAAAGCAUGGGGAUCAAACAGGAUUAGAUACCCUGGUAGUCCAUGCCCUAAACGAUGAUCACUUGAUGUCGGCCGAAAGGUCGGCGUCGUAGCUAACGCGUUAAGUGAUCCACCUGGGGAGUACGCUCGCAAGGGUG